GCGAGAGUGUGUGUGUCAUUCCUCACACACACGCAUACACAUACAUAUACAACUACAUACAACUACAUACACAUACAACUACAUACAAACACGUGUGUGUUUGUUAUUAGUAAAAAAGGCGCAAAAACACAACUCACUUAUCAUUCCAACACAUUUGCAAAGACACACGGAGGACAGAAAAGGUAAAUUGGUUUUUAUUUUACUCUGUAUAUAUUUUAUUAUAUAAUAUUAUAUAUAGAUAUAUGUAUACAUAAUUGCAGUAUGAAACAGUGUUUAUGUAUAAACAGACGACACUUAUAUAUAGUUACCAAGCCGCCCGAAUUUACCUAUUCAUAUUUAAAUGAGAAUAUCAGAGCAAAUCUCUUUAGUACAUUCGUGAAAACACGUAUUAUACUUCGUAAACACUUCAACUACAGUUUUGUACAAAAAUCGAAGUGUAAUUUUAAUUCCGUGAAUUAUGGGAGAUUUUUUUCCGAAAUUUGUUCCUAUUGUGUUUUCAAAAUUUGUAAUUCUGACAAAAAAUGGAUACGAAUUUCAUUAUAUCAAGCAGCGAGUCAGAAUUCGAAGGAUUUUCUACUGAAGACCUUCAUAAAUCUAACUCUAUGACUGAAAAAAAAAAAGCAUCUUUAUAUAAGAGUGAAGUUGUGUGUCUGUCUCCUACGAUUUCGAUUCCUAACUACUCCCACAUUUUGCGGUGCAGUUUAACCAAAAGCGGGUAUCUUAUAGUCGUGAUUCAUAUCGAGCCCUUCUGGGUAUUAGCGUGCGUCUACGAUGAGUCUACGAUUUAAAAAAAAUUUACCAUCAUAUUUUUCCAUUUUAAUGCAUUUUUUUCGCUUUUAUAUAAGGGAAGUAACUCUCUAAAAAUAUCUACGAUGUGUCAACGAUUUAAAAAAUAUUUACCUUAAUUUUUUUUCAAUUUUUAAUGCAUUUUUUGGCUAUAACUCUCUAAAAAUGCUUAUAUAGUUAUUUCCCUUACAACCCGAGCAACGCCGGGCGAUACUGCUAGUGCUUAAUAAAAUUAAAAUGGUUUUAAACUUUUUGAAGUUGUUCAACACUGGCAAAGAAAGAAAAAUUAUAUAACUGCAAAUUCUAUCACAUGCAGGAUGAGGAGGUGAUAACUGAGUUGUCUAAGACAGGUUCUAGAGCUAGCCAACAUUAUAAGGGGCUAGUAUUGACAGAAGGAAUGAAGGAAAGGCAUUAGCAGACUAGGACGGAGAGGAAUCCUGAGAGAGUCAUUGAGGAAAAUAGAGGUGUUGGGAUCAUAGUAGGGGUAGGUCAGAUAGGGAAAGAUGAGAAGUGGUGUUCAGAGUGCAGAAAAGUAUUAUGUGUUAGUAUAUAUGUGUGCAUGCCCACCAAUAUUUUUUUUCACUUUAAAUUAUAAUAUAGUCAUAAUUUACACCUUCUGAAAGGUAUUUGUAGAAAAUUUCAUCACUAAAUAUCCAUUUUUCUGAAAGUUACAUUGAAAUAAAGUUGGAGGGAGGGGGCACACUUGUGUAGGUAUGCCAUCAGUUGUAUAAAGAAGUGUUGAGUACUCACAGUGAAUGAUACCUAAGAAAGAAAGAGACCCAGGAAAACAUGAUCUAAAGUAUUGAAGACUGCCUUCAAUAAAAUGAACUUCAUGAAGUAGGAUUGCAACAAGAAGUAACAAGUAAGAAAUACUAGAGGGAUUAGUCCACCUAUGCAAUCAUGACAAACUAGACAUUAUAAUGGGGGUGAUGAGGAAUUCUCACUCAUUAUAUUCCUGUGAAGGCCCUAUUUAACACCUUGCCCAUCUUUUUUGUUAUCCUCUCAUCUAUCACAAGUCCUCCUUACUUUAUCACACUAUAUGUAACAAGGGAUAGCAUUGAAUUUGUCUAUAUUCAAUUCCCUCUACUAUCACUUCUUUAUUGCUAGCCAUCACUCUCUUGCUCCCUCCCUGAUUACUCCCUCAUCACUCAUUACUAAUGUCCAUCACAUUCUAUCUCUUACCUGCACAUGGUCUUAUUGCUACUCAUUUGUUCUCUCUCAUUUACACAUUAUUUCUCUUUCUAUUGCAGAGCCUGUGAAAGACAUGGAUACUGCUCCUUUCUCAAGACCUAUAAAGCUGGAAAAAAUUGUGUUAAAACAGUGAUCAGAAAAUCCCCACGGCUAAAGGUGUAUGAAUGCAACUAAAAGAAAAACUAGGCUAGUGAGGCCCCUACUACUUAGUGGGAAGAAUCGCAUUAGUAUAGUUGCUACACUAGUGGCAGGGAUUUUACUUGCCUUGUUGCUCUAUUAGUAACAGGGAUUUCAUUUUGGAUAGCUGCUGUCUUAGUAGCUAAUAUUUCAUGUGUUUAUUUAAUUUUGUAGAAGCUGGAAUCUCAUUUUACUAGUUACUGACUUAUUAGAAUGGAACACAUUUACAUACUAUAGUUACUCUCUUAGAGGCAAAGAUCUCUGUUGUUAGUUGUGUUAUUAUUAGCAGUGAUCAGAUUUCUGUUAAUACUUUCUUAGUAGCAAGGACCUUGAAAAGUUGCUGCUUUGUUAGCUGGGAUUUCAUUGAGAGACUGUAGUAUAAUUAGUAAAGUGACUACCUACUUGCCUUCUUAUCUACCUACCUAUGCACACACACACACACACACACACACACACACACACACACACACACAUAUAUGUAUGUACAUACAUACAUUCUCAAAGGAUAUAGGGUUGGAGUUUGGUCAGGAUAAAUGUUGUUAUAUGGUUGUGAAAAGAGGAAAAACUGUAAACCAGACUAGCAACAUCUUCAAUGACUUAACUGUUUUCUCUGUAUCUGACUAGGAAUGUUACAAGUACAUUGGGGUGGAUAAAAACAUAUCUUACGAUGGCACCUGUAACAAGACACAUGUCACUAAAGAAUAUUACAGCCGAAUAAAGAAAAUAUGGACCUCAGAACUCUCUGCUUUCAUUAAAACAGUGGCCCACAAUGUGUUUGCAGUACCAGUACUCAUACCAACGUUUGGGCUACUUGACUGGAUGCUUGAUGAGAUCUGAGCCAUUGAUGUGAAAAUCUGGAAGAUACUAACCAGCAUACAUAAUUUCCAUAUCAACAGUGAUGUAGACUACCACUACCUAAAACAAAAAUGGCCAGUGGGUGGUUAACAUCAACCCAAAUUGCCUUUGAAUGUCAUAUCAUAUCCCUUCAACAGCAUAGUAACAUUGAUCAUCAAAGAAGUCUAUCAUGGACCAACAAACAGAUUACUGUCUCCCACUUUGAAGGGUAUAUGUUUGCAAUCCAGGAAGAGGAAAUAUUAGCUAAAUGCAGACUUCAUGGAGUUAGCACUGAAGAUAUCACCCACAUCAUAAGCAGUUGCCUGAAAAUGUCAUCACAGUAUUAUCUACCAAUAAGACAUGAUGUUGUGGUUAAGACACUGUAUGAGAUCCAUUGGAAGAAUAAACCUGACGUCAAAGAAAUAAUAACCCACAGUAUGAUGGAAGCUAUAGCCACUCGUAAUAAGAAGGAGUACUGGUGGAAUGUCCCAGUGAAAACCUCAAUAAAGUGUAGAUAUAAUAGACCAGACAUAAUGAUUUGGGAUACAGUUAUUGAAGUCAGCAUACAGUUAUUGAAGUCAGCUGCCCAGUUAUUGAAGCCAGUUAUUGCAUACAGUUAUUGAAGUCAGCUGCCCAGCAGAUAAAGCUAAAGAUCAGUGAAAAAGAAAAUAACCUAUGCUAAACUAUUGAGAAAUCUACAGUUACUCUACCCAGAUUACAAGUUCAGGUUUAUACCUGUAAUUAUUGGGGCACUGGGAUAUGUAACACAUAACCUAAGUACCAAUCUUGAGAAAUUAGGCUUCUCAGAACCAGAAAGGAGAAGGCUGAUUCGAAGACCACAGAUCCAAGCCUUCACUGGAACUGUAAAAAUCUGUAAAACUUUCCAGAAGUUUAUCAUUUAAAUAUAUAUGAGCAUGCCUAGAUAUGCAACUAUAUGCAUGAGAAUGCAUACAUAAAACAAAACAUACAAAUCUGCACAUAUACAUACAAAUAUACAUACAUACUCUAUUGAUGUUGAAAUUCCAAUGAAGGAGCCUUGGGUUUCUAAUUGGCUCUUUCUCUAUUCGCAUGAAAUUUUGAAAUAAAACUAAAUAACAACAUACAUACAUGUCUAUCUCUAUGUAUGUAUGCCACAUGGUAUAGAAAGGUAUAUCAAAGACUGCUGUAGCAACAACAUCAUCAGCCACUGCAAAAACAAAGAUGCACAAGAGAGAAGAUACUACAUAUAAACAUAAAAGCAUGAAAGUGCAAUCGAAUGGAACUAUCCAGAAUGUGUGCAGAGUGAUGAAAUUAUCUUGUAUGCAUUCAAUGAGUGUGCAGUCAUUAUUAAACUGUGGAGUCACGUCAAAUAGCUGUCACCAUGUGCAAGAUAGACCCAGCUAUAACCUGAGUCCAUUGCAGAGAUCACCCAUUGCAUAAAUCUCCUUUAACUAUGAAGGAUAGAAGGUUUUUGGCUGUCAGGUGACUAUGAUAAAAGAGGUUGUGUGAUAGACAAGGCUAGGGAAACUGAAGACAGGCACAUCCUUUUCAGUCAAGCCAUCAAUGACUUUUCAAAGUUCCUCUCAGAAAGAAAGGUGAGGAUGGAGUAGGCGGUUCCUUUUUCCAGUAAAUUUGUUAAAAAGUAGAGGACAGUAGCAAAAAAUAACCACAAUGAAUGGGUCUACUCUCAGCAUGUGAUUAAGGGUCAGAGAAUGACAGCUGGAAGAGAGCACUUGUCCUUGGUAAACAAAGUAACCUUGGAUCUGUAGAGCCACUCAAGAAUGAAUACAUCUCUUUUUUUCUCAUCCUUAUCCUAUUUUAUGUAAACCUCUGUACUAUGUAUAAUAUAACCUCUCCUUGUACUUCCCCUUUAAUCCAAUGCCCUUCAGCAAAUAAAAAGAAAUCAUCAUCGUCGUUGUCAUCAUCAUCAUUAUCAUCACCAUUGUUAAGGUGGUGGCAAGCUUGCAGAAUCAUUUGAGCAUCGGAAAAAAUGUCUUGCAGUAUUUGUUCUGGUUCUGAGUUCAAAUUAACUUUGCCUUUCAUACUUUCAGAGCCAAUAAAGUACCAAUCUACCACUGAAGUUGAUGAUAACAUCUUUCAAAAUUGUUAGCCUUGUGUCUAAAUUAGAAGCAAUUAUUAUUAAGGCAGCCAGCAGCAGAAUCAUUAGAAUGCCAGGCAAAAUGCUCAGUGGUAUUUUGCUCAUCGCUACAUUCUGAGUUCAAAUUCCACCAAGAUUGGCUUCACUUUUUGUAAACAACUUUGAGUUGUUCAUGAAUAGCAAAUGGUUCAAUUUUCUCUUACCUCUCCCCAAGUCAUACUCCAACUUUGUUUUUUGUAGUAUUUCACUCACAAGGAUCAUCCCCAGCACAAAGAUCAGUGGGGACACACUAUCCCCCUGGAAGACACCUCUCCUAAUACUUGAUUCCUUGCUGUCAAUAAGUUUCCACAUUAGUGGAAGACAUGAUAUUGGUCAAAAAAUGGAUGCAACACUUCCCUUUUCAGGAUCCUUGGCACAUUAUAAUGUCUUCCCCUUUGUCAUCCAGCUGAGUACUGCGCCUUCCUACAAGCAUUCAUCUAGCUGUUUCACUAUCCUUUCAUGGAGCCCUCUCAGUUUCUUCAUCCAAUAACCCUGGACCCUGUCCAGUCCUGGACUCUUCCAAUUAGGGAAUUUUCUUAACUGCUUUUUUAUCAUUUCUAUAGUUAUUUUUAUGUCUUCUUGGCCUUCUAUAUUACUUAAUCUAUCUUGGAUUUCAUGCAGCUACUCUGCUUCAUCAUUAUGCUCUACAGGUUAGUCCCAGAUCCCUCCCAGAAUGCCUUGCUUUCCUCUGCAUCUGGUUUCAUUGUUAUGUGUAAUUGCCCAUCAAGUUCUUGAAACAGUUUCUUCUGAUUAACUUCAAAUAAUCUGUUUUUGCCUAAAUUGUUUCAUUCUAUUGUCGCAUCUUUCCAGUUUUGCUUUGAUUACUACUGCUCUUUGUUUCAUUUCUUCCAAUAUCAUCUCAUACCCUUUAUCUCUUAUUCUAUAUGUUCUUUCUAGUAUUAUUCUUAUGCUUUCGCUCUGCAAUUACCCCUUACUCAAUCUAUCAACUUGUCCUAAAUGUCUUUUUAACUUUGUUCCCCACAAAUCCAUCUACACCAGUAUGGUUCUUUAUGUUCUGUUUGUUUUCUUCCUUUGUAUCUAACUCUAUCUGCAGCAACUAUAGCUGCAGCCCAAAUAAUCUUGUUAGUUUCAGUUAUAUUUCUCAUGUCUGGAAUAGCCCAAGGACCAACUCUAUCUUUUUGGUUUCAACUUUGAGUUUACAUCAAUCAAUGUACUGCAGAUUGAGGGGUGCACAAUCCUGGUCUUCUCUAAUAUAUCGGCAUAGCAACCUCUCUAUGUCUUGUUGGUCAUCAUCAUAUUCUUGUGAUAUAGCUCUUCUCAUUACUUCUGCUUCAUUUUCUGAGAAUGAAUUUACAUUUACACUUUGCUCUACAUCUUCACUGCCGCAAUUCAUUUCUCUGUCCUUGCUGGGUAUAUUAGGUUGUCAGGAAAGUUCUUGCAGAAUUUUUAAUUUUGGUUUUAAAUUAUGUAUUUUCAAAUUAAUUCUCGUUAAAUUACUUUGACUUUAUAUAUCAUUUUAAAACCCGUUUUUCGCUCUAUCUAAUCGUGUUACUCUUUUUCUUUUUGAACAAUUAGGCCAUUUUUUUCUGGAACGUUGAAUACAACAUGGACAAAAAGCAAAUUCGCACAAUUUUCUUAUUCCAGUUCAAGCUAGUCAGAAAAGCUGUUGAAACAGCUUGCAAUAUCAACAAUGCAUUUGGCCCAGGAACCACUAAUGAAUGUACAGUACAAUGGUGAUUCAAGAAAUUUCGUAGUGGUGACAAGAGUCUUGAAAAUGAUAAGUGUAGUGGUCGGCCACUAUGCUUAACUAAGAGCCACUACGAUCAACUAAGAGCCUUAGUGGAACCCAAUCCAUGCAUAACUGUUCGAGAGCUUGCUUUUGAAUUAGACAUAACCUAUAUGACAAUUUCCAACCACUUGAAAGAGACUGGAGAAACAAAAAUACUUGAGAAAUGGGUACCGCACAAAUUGAAUAACAACCAAAAAAACGCCGUUUUGAAGUGUUAUCUUCCCUUCUUUUACACAACAAGAAUGACCUGUUUCUUGACCGGAUUGUGACGUGAUGAAAAGUGGAUUCUUUACGACAACCGGCAAUGCUCAGCUCAGUGGUUGGAUGCCGAUGAAGCUCCACGGCACUUCCCGAAGCCAAAGUUGCACCAAAAGGAGGCCAUGGUGACUGUUUGGUGGUCUGUGGUUGGCCUCAUCCAUCACAGCUUUUUGGAUCCAGGGGAAACCAUUACAGUGGAGAAGUACUGUUAGCAAAUGGAUGAAAUGCAAAGAAAAUCCGACAACAGCCAGCGUUGGUCAAUAGAAAAGGACCAAUUCUUCUCCACAACAAUGCUCGGCCACACAUCGCACAGCUGAUCCUGCAGAAGUUGAACGAAUUAGGCUACGAAACUCUGCCUCAUCCGCCCUACUCACCAGAUCUCUCGCUUACUGACUACCACUUUUUCAAGCAUCUCAACAACUUCCUGCGUGAGAAAUGCUUCAAAAACCAAGACGAUGCCAAACACACUUUCAACGACUUCAUCACCACCAGAAUGCAGGGUUUUUACACUACUGGCAUGAAUAAACUUGUUUUGCAUUGGCAAAAGUGUGCUGAUUCUGAUGGUGUUUAUUUUGAUUAAUAAAGUUUUGUUUGAGCCAAGAUAUGUGCAUCUGAAUUUAAAGGUUAAAAACUGCAAGAACUUUCUUGAUAACCUAAUAUUAUCUGUUGGUGAAGUAUUAUUUGUAUUUUCUACAUUCCUUUUUAUCUCUUUAAUUUCCAUGCCUGUUAAGCACCCUUUUGCUCUUAUUGUUCUUGCCUGGUCGGCUAGCCGUUGCUCACUUAUUUCGAAGAGUCCCGUUUCAUUCCAUUUUGCUUUCAUGCAUUGUUGGAAUCCCCUUCUACUGGGUUCACUCCUGAUCAAGCAUUCAAUUACCAUUCGGUUUGCCUCCUUCUUCUCUACCUCUGACUUUGUGUAUAAGCAGUCUCUGGAUAAAGACCAAGCCUGCGUUGCUCAACCACAGGGCACCUGCUAGGCUUUCACCUUUGGUUCCAGCCUCAUUAACACCAUUAUUUGAUACAUUUGUAUUAGAAAUUUUCACUCAACAUUGAGGUAUGUGUUUUAAGGUUAGCCACCAGCUGGUAUUUUUAUUGACAUACCAUCUCUAGUAAGAUUGUCAACUAAGACUGCAGAGCUCUUAUUACCCAUAAGUUGGGCCUGUUCCCAUUGCAUUUCUGUGUGUUGUGGACCAUGAUCAUGAAUCUCAUUAGGAGAUAGGUGAAUGUCAGUUGGUCUUUAUCUUCAUCCAAAUAUAGCUCCAGAGUUAAGUCAUGAUUCAUUCACGUUCAUCUCAGGCAUGGAGCCAUUGGAUACUGACAGGUUGACAUCACUGACUAAGGAGUCCUAUCUACCCCAGUUUUAAAUCAGAAUGUUCCUUCUCCUAGACAGACUGCCAACCAAGGCUCACGAGUUCUGUCUACCCUUUUCGGAAUGGCCAUUGACUCUUCUGAGUUCCUCUGCCUUUUUUUUUAUCACCAUCACCAUCACCACCAUCAUCAUCAUCAUCAUCAUCAUCAUCAUCAUCAUCAUCAUCAUCAUUCAUUUGUUUUUCACUUUUUAUUGUUCAGUUAUGAAUAUCCACUCUUUAAUCAUGAAAUUAUCAUCAAGUGACCUUUUCACUAAUACCUCACAUAGUUAUGCUUUAUAUAUUGUCAGUUCUUAGAUGUUGGUUUGAAUCAUUUAUUCAUUUAUCCAUUUGUUUUUAUUACUAUUAUAUCUCAUUGUGGCACUAGUGUUCUUUGAAUUGGUAGAUUUGAAUUUAACAAAAUUUGAAGUGUAGGUGUAGGUGAAUCUCCUCUGUCACACAUACACACACAAUAAAUACAUAUUUUUUUUCAUUUCAAAUUCAUAUUCAAGUUCACUUUAUCGUCUUUUUCCUGCUUUUAUUUCAAGCUUAUAUUCAAUUUAGUAUUAUUUCAAUUGUCUGUUGUUUAAUUAUACAUCUAUUUGGGCACUAUCUACCAAUUUAACUGAAGGUGAUAGAUAGAUAGAUAGAUAGAUAGAUAGAUAGAUAGAUAGAUAGAUAGAUAGAUAGAUAGACAGAUAGACAGAUAGACAGACAGACAGACAGACUGACAGACAGACAGACAGACAGACAGACAGAUACACACACAUACAUGCAUACACACAAACAUACAUACAUACAUGCAGGCAUACAUGGAUACAUAUAUAAGUAUAUACUAGUGAUUGCUCCAUCUUCAUACAUGAUUGCUGUCUCUCUGGAUGAAAUCUUACUGGAUGAAAUCGUUGGAAGGUAAUUUCCAAAGUUAUAUGUACAUUUUUUGUGUCUUACUACUUCAAAACGGUACAUUGUAGUGGGGUGGACUAUUUCCAUUUUCAGACUCCCCAUAUCUCAAAGCAUAUAUAAUACUACACUUUUCACGGAAAACAGGGGAUGGUGGAACACUCGGAAAUCCACCCCCCACAACCUUGGUGGCAUGAACUGCAUGCCCUAGCAUCCUAGUCACCCUCUGUUACUGAUACAUACAUACAUGCAUGCAUGCAUACAUACAUAUAUACAUGCAUGCAUACAAAUAUACAUACAUGCAUGCAUGCAUACACAGAGGUACCCAGAAGUAAUGAGAAACACUCUCUGUAGGACAAGCCCAUUGUAGUUCAGGCUUCUGCUACUAGAAGCCACUCGAUGCAACCCUCAGGCAUCUACUGACUGGUAUUGUCAAGUAAAGUCAUACUGCCACAUGGUACAUCUUUGUUUUGCAGUGCUUCUCCCCUAUUUGUCAAUUUUCGCAAUGGCUGAAAUGAAGGGACAGCGUGUCUCCAUGAAAUUCCGUUUUCUGCUGGGGAAAACAGUGGCCGAAACAGUUGUCAUGCUUCAAACAUCCUACAAGAAUGCUACCGUGAGCAAAACACAAGUUUAUGAGUGGUUUUCAUGUUUUAGGAAUGAUCACUUGUCACUUGAAGACCAACUUCAUUCAGGACAACUCUCAACCUCCCAAACAAAUGAAAACAUCAUGAAAACUCAUGAACUGAUCUUGGAGGAACAUCGCCAAACAAUUGAUGAGAUUUGAGUGAGGAAUUGGGAAUGAAAAGUGUUGAAGCAAAAUGUACGUCUUGCUCGCUCAAGGAAGAUCAAAAGCAGUUAUGACUGAAAGCUUGUCAUGAACUGAAAGAACGAUUGGAAGUUGAUCAGAACCAUUUUUCAAAGGUCAUCAUGGGCGACAUAACUGGUGCUGAAAACGAAGCAGCAUUCAAUGUCAUCACACUCCCAAAAAGUGUGUCAAGUGAAAUCCAAUGUCAAAACAAUGCUGAUUUGUUUCAUCCAUGUGAAAGGAAUUUUCUCCACAAAUUUUGUUUCUCUUAGUUAAACUGUUAACGAGACUCUUUACUUGGCAAUUCUGAAGCAUUUGCAAGACGCAAUGAGAUGAAAACACCCCAACCAGUGGCAAAGUGGAGAGUGGUGGUUUCAUCACAACAAUGCACCUUUGCACACUACCUUGCAUGUAAAACAGUUUUUGACCAAAAAUGGCAUUACUCAGCUUACCCACCCUCUCUAUUUAUCCAAUCUUGCUCUCUACAACGUAUUUUUUUCUUUUGUUCUUCUGAAUGAAAAAGUCCUUAAAGGAAAACAUUUUGCAGAUGUGGAAGAGGUGAAGUCAAAAACAACAGAGGCAUUAAAAGGCAUCACUUGACAAGAGUUCCAGGACUUCUUCGAACAAUGAAAAACACAUCAAGACUGAUAAAUUGCUUCAAAUGGGAAAUAUUUUGAAGGCAAUAAAAGUGUAAACAUGUAAAGCCAAGUGAAUAAGAUAAUAUUGCAAAAUUCCAGUUUCUUUUGGGUACCCACUUGUACAUACAUACAUACACACACACAUAUACAAACACGAAAAUGUAUGUUUAGUUUGUUGAUGUAUGUGAAGAAAGGUCAAUGUUUGGUAAUAUAGAUAUUGUUUAAUAUUUACAUGUUAAUUGUUGACAAGAGAACAUUCAGCAAAAUCAAUAUAGAUGUAUAGAGUUUCACAGUCAUAAGUCUUGACAUCUUAAAUGUACACUGAAAUUCAGACCAUCAAAUUAGAUAGGUGUAUCUAAAACAGAAACAGGCAUUACAGUGUGGUUAAGAAGUUCACUAAUAUAGUCACAUGGUUCUGCAUCCAAUCCCACAAUGUGAUACCUUGAGUACAUGUCUUCUAAUGUUUCAAGUUGAUCAAUGACUUAUGAGUGAAAUUUGGUAGAGUUAAACUGUAUGGAGGUUCAUCAGAUGUGUGUGUGUGUGUGUGUAUUAUUUGCAAACAACUUGCAGAUGCAAGUGUUACCAGUUGAAAGCUCCACAUACUGAACACUAGCAGUCUCAUAGAGUCAUGAAGAGAGAAUGCACAUCAUCUUAAAGUCUUCCUCUUGGCGAUAUUAUUGCACACUGGCCCCACUUGUUAGAUCAACUGGUUUCUAGACUUCCAGUAGCUUGCCUUCUCCACUGUAGCCUGGAUAUCACUCAUGGUGGUAUUUACUUAAUGAUGAGUUAGAUCUGACAACAACAAUCAUUGCCUUGCACUGUUUCCAAUGAAUCUUCUACAUCCAACUUCGAUUGGAUAAUGCUCUGCUUUCUAGUCUAUGUCUUCACAUUACUUGUGAUGUUUGUAACUGUCAAUCUUUUGAGUAUAAGCAGUGUCCAUGUUAUCCUCAUGAGAAACUGUUAACUUGACCAGAUUUACUACUUUCUUUUUCUCACAUAAUAUUAUAAUAUCUGGUUUUUUCAUCACUGGAAUGGGGUAGAAUCCUUGGCACCCUGGUAAAUCUACAGCCACCUCUCGAUAGACAUUCCACUUUUCAUCGUUCACAGCAUGUUUCUUCUUCAAAUAGAUCUGCUGUUCUGGAUGCAUGAAAAUAAUGAACUCUCUGGCUGGUUUCUUCUGUGAUUUUUUUGAAACUGUUGGUUAAGGCAUCAUAGGAUGAAUGAAUAAAAAAACUCAGACAUGAUGUACUCCACUUCCAUAUUUCAUUCCAUCUUAUUUUUUUCUCAAUUAUGUGUUUCUCCCAUCUUGUUAUUUAUCCUUGUUGAGAACAUCAAAUCAAAUGAGGUCCUCUUUUCCUUGUUUCCCUUGUCUUGAUAUUGCUACUAACAACAAAUCUGUGUUUGCACUGCAUCUUGCUUUCAAAUGGCCCAAACUGAUCUAAACCAAAUCCAAGCUGUUUCCAAUCAAUUUGUAUGGCACCCACCAUAUCUCAGUGUGUAAGUGUAGGCAGGAUGUCAUCAGUUUCUGCUUCUGCUUUCCACUUGGCUGUUUUUACAUCUGAUAAAUUAUGCCUUAUUUCCCUACCCUUCAACUCUCUUAGCAUCAUCACUGUUCGUACCUUCCCUACUUUAUACAUGUGUGCAUGCAAGUAAUAAACUGAUAAAUUGGUGUUGCAAAUAAAAAAUAUCUUGCAUUUGUUCCAUUUGAUUUGCUCAGAUACUGCCUCAACACUCUCAUCAUGAUAACUCACCAGCAUACAAUAUCCUGUCUCAGUUCCUUCCAUUGUUAAUACAUUGGUUCCUACUCCAUUUAACUAUCAAGAUAUGAACCAUACAUCUCAUCUACCACUUAACACACUUAAAGGCACUCAUCUCCAAAGUUUGAAAAUAGAAGUUUUUUUCCCCUCAGAAUUGCAAUUCUCUGUACAUGUUUUUUUUUUCCUGCAGAAUUCAACCUACAUAAAUGCAAGCUAAUCAUAAAUCACAUCACCGUCACCAGACUGGAAGGACUUACAAAGGUCAUAUGUACACUCUUCCUAUCUCAAACUAUAACUGAAAAGGUAAAAACUAUAUUUUUCAUUCAAUUGGCUUGUAAGUAUGACAAAGGUUCAUUUAGGACACUGAAACACUCUGUAUUGAACAUAAUUUGGUGAAUUUGAUUGUUGGUUGUAUAGCAUAAAUGUCAUAUCAUCAUUGCUAUCAUC
RNAcentral lists this long non-coding RNA (13002 nucleotides) under Octopus vulgaris (common octopus). Lineage: Eukaryota; Metazoa; Mollusca; Cephalopoda; Octopoda; Octopodidae. The record is from RNAcentral.